GAUGAACGCUGGCGGCGUGCCUAAUACAUGCAAGUCGAGCGAACGGACGAGAAGCUUGCUUUUCUGAUGUUAGCGGCGGACGGGUGAGUAACACGUGGAUAACCUACCUAUAAGACUGGGAUAACUUCGGGAAACCGGAGCUAAUACCGGAUAAUAUUUUGAACCGCAUGGUUCAAAAGUGAAAGACGGUCUUGCUGUCACUUAUAGAUGGAUCCGCGCUGCAUUAGCUAGUUGGUAAGGUAACGGCUUACCAAGGCAACGAUGCAUAGCCGACCUGAGAGGGUGAUCGGCCACACUGGAACUGAGACACGGUCCAGACUCCUACGGGAGGCAGCAGUAGGGAAUCUUCUGCAAUGGGCGAAAGCCUGACGGAGCAACGCCGCGUGAGUGAUGAAGGUCUUCGGAUCGUAAAACUCUGUUAUUAGGGAAGAACAUAUGUGUAAGUAACUGUGCACAUCUGGACGGUACCUAAUCAGAAAGCCACGGCUAACUACGU
RNAcentral lists this ribosomal RNA (496 nucleotides) under uncultured bacterium. Its description in RNAcentral is "partial 16S ribosomal RNA". It matches the Rfam family "Bacterial small subunit ribosomal RNA", at positions 28 to 506 of the family's 1533-position model. The record is from RNAcentral.